AAUAACUAUGAGCGUCUCUGCUGAACACGCAGCCUCGUCCUGAGGUCUCUACUCACUUUCCGUCUGCAGGAAGUUCAGAGUUCUUUGUGUGUAAACGGAUCACCGGAGGGGAAACGCUGGCAGCAUCUAAGCGGCGAUGCGUCUCAUUUGGGGAAGUGGAGCCUGACGAUGUCAUCUUGCAUGUGAGGAGCAGCACUUUAAAAUUAGCACCCGCAGGGAGUGUUUUUAGAAAGGGGGGGGUCAAACCAGAGGGCGUUGAAAUGAAACAAACCCGGUGACACAUCAAUCUGAGCUCAAUGAGGUGCGUUUGAUUCAUCGUCCGACAUGUUUUCAUACGGGUGUGUGUGGCUUUUAUACAUUUAUACAAGUUAAAUGCUGCUUUAUUGUGAAAGGGUAUCUUUAGUUCAGUAUCAGAGUAAAUUCAAUACAUCCACCAAUUUGUCAAAAUAUAUGAUAAAAAUGUUCUGUUGCCCACAUUUGUUUACCUCAUUGUGAGAACUCAGUGUUUCAUCAUCCCCCAAACGCAAACAAGGACAAAGCCUUGAAGGUCAAAGGUUAGAUUUGAAAAAUGAGUAUUUUUGAGGAAAGUAGAAAAGUCUCUUAUGCUUUGGCCAAAGGUUUGUGAACCACUGGUUAAAAUGGGAAACCAGUGAACCGGGAAUCAAACCCGUGACCUCAGGCCGUCUUAGUUCACACAGCAUCUGUACCCGGUACGCGUAUUUAUACCCAGUACAUGUACACAGAUGCGUAUCGGGUGGAGAGAGGCUCCGGUGUCGGCCCGUUUUAACAGUGAGGUCAGUGAAGCUCCUUCUCUUCCUCCUCUUCCUCACCAAAUAUCCAUGUGUGUGUUCUACAGUUUGCACAGUGUGAUAUCGAUGACGUACACGUGAUACGAUACACACGAUGUAUCAGUGUGUUGCUUCAUAACCGACCCGCCGUGCCUGCAAUAAACCUGAAACUAUCCGACUGACAAGUGUCUGUUAAGUCAGAGUCUCUUUGGCACUUGUGGAGGAAGUCUGUAAAACAUCUUUUGGAGGACGCCUCGUGGGGGACAUCUCCUG
Molecule: long non-coding RNA, 1061 nt
Organism: Gasterosteus aculeatus aculeatus (three-spined stickleback)
Lineage: Eukaryota; Metazoa; Chordata; Actinopteri; Perciformes; Gasterosteidae
Source: Ensembl